RNAcentral lists this small RNA (566 nucleotides) under Pongo abelii (Sumatran orangutan). RNAcentral's name for it is "retained intron". Lineage: Eukaryota; Metazoa; Chordata; Mammalia; Primates; Hominidae. The record is from RNAcentral.
AAACAGUUCUAAAAACAUUUAUGUACAAUAUGUAUUCAGAGUAUCCCCUUUUUUAGGCAUGCAUGAGAGAUAUUCCAACGUGCAAGUGGCUGGACCAGUGGACAGAACUAGCUCAAAGAUUUGCAUUCCAAUAUAAUCCAUCCCUGCAACCAAGAGCUCUUGUUGUCUUUGGGUGUAUUAGCAAACGAGUGUCUCAUGGGCAGAUAAAGCAGAUAAUCCGUAUUCUUAGCAAGGCACUUGAGAGUUGCUUAAAAGGACCUGACACUUACAACAGUCAAGUUCUGAUAGAAGCUACAGUAAUAGCACUAACCAAAUUACAGCCACUUCUUAAUAAGGACUCGCCUCUGCAUAAAGCCCUCUUUUGGGUAGCUGUGGCUGUGCUGCAGCUUGAUGAGGUCAACUUGUAUUCAGCAGGCACCGCACUUCUUGAACAAAACCUGCAUACUUUAGAUAGUCUCCGUAUAUUCAAUGACAAGAGUCCAGAGGAAGUAUUUAUGGCAAUCCGGAAUCCUCUGGAGUGGCACUGCAAGCAAAUGGAUCAUUUUGUUGGACUCAAUUUCAACUCU